UCUUAUUUGCAGGUUGACAGUGUCGUGACCGCUGAGUACGAGUUGGAAUAUUUAUUACUGGAGGGUCAUUGUUUUGACGUUACGACAGGUCAGCCGCCCCGUGGGCUGCAGUUCACUCUGGGCUCUGCCUCCGACCCUGUCAUAGUCGACACCAUCGUCAUGGCCAACCUGGGCUAUUUCCAACUAAAAGCAAACCCAGGAGCUUGGAUUCUCAGACUGCGGAAAGGCAGGUCGGAUGAUAUCUACAAAAUCUACAGUCACGAUGGCACAGACUCUCCAGCUGAAGCUGAUGAUUUAAUCGUCGUCCUCAACAACUUCAAGAGCAAGAUCAUUAAAGUGAAAGUAAGUAAUGGUGUCUGAAUCAGGUGUCGGGGUGAGGUCACAUGCGAGGUCUUUGUCUCUGUAGU
Sinocyclocheilus grahami is the source of this 407-nucleotide long non-coding RNA. RefSeq lists it as uncharacterized. The transcript is spliced from 3 exons. NCBI's taxonomy places the organism in Eukaryota, Metazoa, Chordata, Actinopteri, Cypriniformes, Cyprinidae. The record is from RefSeq and is a predicted model, not a curated record.